RNAcentral lists this ribosomal RNA (253 nucleotides) under uncultured bacterium. RNAcentral describes it as "partial 16S ribosomal RNA". It matches the Rfam family "Bacterial small subunit ribosomal RNA", at positions 524 to 776 of the family's 1533-position model. The record is from RNAcentral.
GACAGAGGAGGCAAGCGUUGUUCGGAAUCAUUGGGCUUAAAGCGCGCGUAGGCGGCCUUGUAAGUGUCUUGUGAAAUCCCACGGCUCACCCGUGGAACUGCAGGUCAAACUGCAAGACUUGAGGUCGGUAGAGGCGCCUGGGACUCUAGGUGGAGCGGUGAAAUGCGUAGAUAUCUAGGGGAACGCCGGAGGCGAAAGCGGGGCGCUGGUCCGAUUCUGACGCUGAUGCCUGAAAGCGUGGGGAGGAAACAGG